GGACGUGCUGCGCAGUGACAGCCAGCUGAAGAACGCCGACGUCGAGCUGCAGCAGCGGGCCGUGGAGUACCUGCGGCUCAGCACGGUGGCCAGCACCGACAUCCUGGUAGGCCCCGGUGGCUCGGAGAACCCCUGCCGCACCGUCCCUCGCCCUGGGGCCGGAAGCUGCGGGGCUUUCCGCUGCCGUGACUCCGGGCUUCUUCCUCCAGGCGACCGUCCUGGAGGAGAUGCCGCCGUUUCCGGAGCGCCAGUCCUCCAUUCUGGCCAAGCUCAAGAAGAAGAAGGGCCCGGACACAGCCACGGGUCUGGAGGAGGCCAAGCGGGAGAGGAGCGCCGCUGUCAACGGGGGCCCCGAGCCUGCCCCGGCCAGCGCCGCGGUGGGUCCCUUUCUGGUGGCGACACCCGCAUAAGCUCCUGGGUCGCCGGGUCCCCGAGAUUCGGCACCAGCAGAGCGUUUGCCCCCUGGGGAGAAUGUGUUGUUAGGUGUGAGGUGUGUGCCGAGAGCGCAGUGGUGGGACCCGGCCGAGCCCUCGCCUCUCCUUCACCUCUGACCUCAGAAGGUGCUCCCCCCCGGGCGCCUGGGCCUCAUCUUCCAGACUGGUCUUCAGACUGCCGUCUCGGGCCUAGAGUCCCCUCCCAUCUCCUCUCUGUCCUGAGUGGUUCAGACGAUGUGAGCGCUCGCUUCUUCUGCGGGACUGCCUUGCGUAGGAGGCCGUCCGGCUACUCUUUGUUGGCGUAGAGCGGACCCACCUCACACCUUAUGCUGUUCUUAGAGAUUUUCAGCGGUGACUUGGGUUAGGGCCGGUUUCCCUUUUCUGUGUGACGUGGUGAGGGCAUUCACGUAUAAGUGAAGACCUGUCUUUUGAUGUGCGUCUGGGGGAGGUGUCAGUUUGAGAGUUGUAUUUGUUUCUUUUCUCUCCCUGGCUCGAGCAACAGCUUCGUGGGAACGCACACGCCAGCCCUGCCCCGCGACCGCCAGCUGGGCGCCAUGACCAGCUCCCCAGGACUGUGGGCUUUCUGCUUGUCCGUUCUGGGAGGAGGCCUGGAGAGCUUUGUGUCGUCUCU
This 1065-nucleotide long non-coding RNA is filed under the name Felis catus (domestic cat). RNAcentral's name for it is "lncRNA (ENSFCAG00000053737.1)". The record is from RNAcentral. Lineage: Eukaryota; Metazoa; Chordata; Mammalia; Carnivora; Felidae.